Microplitis demolitor is the source of this 178-nucleotide small nuclear RNA. RefSeq annotates it as U2 spliceosomal RNA. The record is from RefSeq and is a predicted model, not a curated record. Lineage: Eukaryota; Metazoa; Arthropoda; Insecta; Hymenoptera; Braconidae. The transcript has a single exon.
AUGACUUUAAAUAAAGUGAAUUUAAUCUGUUCUUAUCAGCUUAAUAUCUGAUACGAUUCUCAUUGAGAAUCCAGUAUAUUAAUCUGAUUUUUGAAACCAGACGAAAAUCCGGGGCUUGCUCCGGUUUUGUCACGAGUUGCCCUGGCAUUGCAGUGUCGCUUGGUGCAGCUCAAUAAUA